Molecule: ribosomal RNA, 374 nt
Filed under: Candidatus Saccharibacteria bacterium RIFCSPHIGHO2_01_FULL_45_15
Lineage: Bacteria; Candidatus Saccharimonadota
Description: bacterial SSU rRNA
Rfam family: Bacterial small subunit ribosomal RNA
Source: RNAcentral
UUUUAAUGGAGAGUUUGAUCCUGGCUCAGGAUGAAUGCUGGCGGCGUGCCUAACACAUGCAAGUCGAGCGGUAACAGGUCUAGUUUACUAGACGCUGACGAGCGGCGGACGGCUGAGUAACGCGUGGGAACAUACCCCAAAGUGAGGGAUAAGCAUCGGAAACGGUGUCUAAUACCGCAUAUGAUCUUCGGAUUAAAGGAUUUAUCCGCUUUGGGAGUGGCCUGCGUACGAUUAGAUAGUUGGUGAGGUAAAGGCUCACCAAGUCGACGAUCGUUAACUGUUCUGAGAGGAUGAUCAGUCAGACUGGAACUGAGACACGGUCCAGACUCCUACGGGAGGCAGCAGUGAGGAAUCUUCCACAAUGGGCGAAAGCC